UCUCAAAGAAUUUAAUUUUGAGUAAAAUCUGCCCCCUGUUUAUAUAAAGAGCCGCAGAACUUUUACUGUGCUAAGGUAGCAUAAUCACUUGUUUCUUAAUUAGAGACUAGCAUGAAAGAUUUAACAUUUUAAUUACUUUUUUGUAAAACUUAAUUUAAAUUAUAUUAGCUAUAAAAAUAUAUCUAUAUAUUAAAUAGACGACAAGACCCUAUUGAACUUCACUUUUGUUCAGCUGGGGCAGCUAAUUAAAUUUUACUUUAAUUUAUAAAUUUUUAUAAACUGACCUAAUAAAAUUAAUUUUUUGACCAAGUUACCAUAGGGAUAACAGCGUAAUUUCUUUCUAAAGCUCUUAUUUAAAAAGAAGUUUACGACCUCGAUGUUGAAUUAUUUAUCUAUAUUACGCAAUAGUUUUAAAAGAAGGUCUGUUCGACCUUUAAAUUUUUACA
This 446-nucleotide ribosomal RNA is filed under the name Mimetus sp. GH1008. RNAcentral's name for it is "partial 16S ribosomal RNA". It matches the Rfam family "Bacterial large subunit ribosomal RNA", at positions 1830 to 2600 of the family's 2925-position model. The record is from RNAcentral. Lineage: Eukaryota; Metazoa; Arthropoda; Arachnida; Araneae; Mimetidae.